AUUGAACGCUGGCGGCAUGCUUUACACAUGCAAGUCGAGCGGCACCGCGGGGUCAACCCUGGCGGCGAGCGGCGAACGGGUGAGUAAUGCAUCGGAACGUAUCCUCGAGUGGGGGAUUACCCAGCGAAAGUUGGGCUAAUACCGCAUGCGCUCUGAUGUGGAAAGCGGGUGACCUGCCAUGGCCUCGCGCUGUAGGAGCGGCCGAGGUCCGAUGAGCUAGCUGGUGGGGUAUAGGCUUACCGAGGGGACGGUCGGUAGCUGGUAUGAACGGGUGAUCAGCCAGACUGUCAGUGAGACACGGCCGAGACUCCGACGGGAGGCAGCAGCGCGGAAUUUUAGACGAUGGGGGAAAGCCUGAUACAGCCAUGCCGCGGGAGUGAAGAAGGACUUCGGGUGGGAGAGCUAUUUCGGACGGAACGAAAUGGGCGGCACUAACACGCCUGUAUGAUGACGGUACCGUAAGAAGAAGCACCGGCUAACUACGUG
This 486-nucleotide ribosomal RNA is filed under the name uncultured bacterium. RNAcentral describes it as "partial 16S ribosomal RNA". It matches the Rfam family "Bacterial small subunit ribosomal RNA", at positions 29 to 507 of the family's 1533-position model. The record is from RNAcentral.